RNAcentral lists this transfer RNA (86 nucleotides) under Peptococcaceae bacterium. RNAcentral describes it as "tRNA-Leu". It matches the Rfam family "tRNA". From Rfam's summary of the family: Transfer RNA (tRNA) molecules are approximately 80 nucleotides in length. Their secondary structure includes four short double-helical elements and three loops (D, anti-codon, and T loops). The record is from RNAcentral. Lineage: Bacteria; Bacillati; Bacillota; Clostridia; Eubacteriales; Peptococcaceae. RNAcentral also lists the same sequence under 1 other name.
GCGGGCGUGGCGGAAUGGCAGACGCGCUGGAUUUAGGAUCCAGUGGGGUAACUCCCGUGGAGGUUCAAGUCCUCUCGCCCGCACCA